Molecule: long non-coding RNA, 1371 nt
Organism: Carassius gibelio (silver crucian carp)
Lineage: Eukaryota; Metazoa; Chordata; Actinopteri; Cypriniformes; Cyprinidae
Exons: 3
Source: RefSeq, a predicted model, not a curated record
ACGGUCGGUUAGCGUCUGAUACCAGAGAAAAGCAUCAUCAGUCUCUGUGAAUAAAACGGAUAUUAUCUCAAAUAUAAUCUCGAUUACAGAUUGCAGAUAACGAGGAUAUGAAGUAAGUGUGUUUUCCUGAUUUUCUGAAACACUUAUUUGCACAAUUAUAUUUACAUUUUGCAUUGGCGCCAACCCAGUGUAGUUUAAAAUGGAGGAUUUGUUUUAUUUGCAUUAAUGUUGCUAAGUUAGGUGCGUAUAAAGUUGGUAACUUAUAUAUUAUCCUUAUAUAUUGGGAAAUCGAAAAUAGGCCUGUAAACUUAAUUUUACUUAGGAAGCAUAAACUCAUCGCCUUUUGCAUGAGCACUUGACUGGAUAGAUGGAAAGAGUAGCGUUAACGUUAUGGUGAGAAACGUUUGUUUUUUUCGGAGUGACACAUUAGUCUUUCAAUAUAAGUCGUAUCUAAAACUAGUUAGAGUGUAAUCUAAAUAACUUAUUGUUAAUAAAGUGGGCUUUGUAUGUGAGCACAUUUUAAUUUUAAUUUUGCACUGGAUUUAUUGGCACAAAUCUCUAUAUCACAGAGGAAACGUUACUUCAUUCACUUACAUUCUAACUUGUUCCUCAGCCUCAAAUACAGUUUUGUGUGUGUGUGAGAGAGAACGAGAGUGUGUGUGUGUGUGUGUGUGUGUGUGAGAGAGAGAGAGAGAGUGUGUGUGUGUGUGUGUGUGAGAGAGAGAGAGAGAGUUAGAGAGAGAGGAAGAGGAGAGAGCAGUAGACAGAAUAUUUUUAAGUGUUUUUAAUGAAAAGUUGGAGGAUGUCCCUGGAUGAGAACAAAGAUAUGGUACACCUGCUUGUCAAGAUUCUAACGUUAAUGUCCCACUUCCAGGAACACGAAGAUGGACUGGUUUCACAUGCAGAUGUUGCAGCAUCUGCAUCUGAUGUUGAGAAGACACUCAAUCUACCUGCCAAUCCUCAUCUGAUUUUGCUGGGUUAGUGUGUCAUUGCACAUGAUGAAGAAGAAACAUUUACUGAUGGCUGAGAUAUAAAAUUGUUAACAUUGCUGUUGUGCACAAUUGUUAAAAUUGCUUCUUCUUUUUUUCUUUUUUUUUUUUGUGAGUGUCCAGUCAACAUUUUUGACUGCAGUUGCAAGUGUUUGCUGUGCACUACAUCUUCAAUCUGCAGUAUCAAGAGGAGGCCUGUUGCAUGUUAGAGUUUUUUCAAAGAUGAUUCUAUGGAAUAAACCCAGAAAGAGGCUCAAAGACCUGCCGAGGCAAGGUAGUCUCCAAGAAGACGGGGAAGGUGGUGAAUAAGAAGUCCACUACAGUCAAUCCAAAGGUUGCCACUCUACAAAAAAAUCGAAUGGACUUCAAAUGGGACUUCAUC